RNAcentral lists this long non-coding RNA (283 nucleotides) under Homo sapiens (human). Its description in RNAcentral is "non-protein coding lnc-GPR39-2:5". The record is from RNAcentral. Lineage: Eukaryota; Metazoa; Chordata; Mammalia; Primates; Hominidae.
UACUAAUUAGCACAUUCUGCUAGCACAUCUGUGGGAAAAGAGACGCGAUCUUACUGCAUUGACCAGGAUGGUCUCAAACUCCUGGCUACAGGCUAUCCUCCUGCCUCUGUCUCCCAAAGCGCUGGGAUUACAAGCGUGAGCCACCAGGCCUGGCCCAAUUGCUUCUUAACAACUUACUAUUCUUUGUUCACUACAGUGUAUACAUAACUGACUUUUUAUUUGGAUCUUCAUUUUGUAAUGAAGGCUCUGGUCACAUGUAAGACUUGUAUUAAAUAAAUUUGCC